Molecule: ribosomal RNA, 624 nt
Filed under: uncultured Geobacteraceae bacterium
Lineage: Bacteria; Pseudomonadati; Thermodesulfobacteriota; Desulfuromonadia; Geobacterales; Geobacteraceae
Description: partial 16S ribosomal RNA
Rfam family: Bacterial small subunit ribosomal RNA (bases 1-549)
Source: RNAcentral
GAGUUUGAUCCUGGCUCAGAACGAACGCUGGCGGCGUGCUUAACACAUGCAAGUCGAACGUGAUUGGAAGCUUGCUUCCAUGAAAGUGGCGCACGGGUGAGUAACGCGUGGAUAACCUGCCCUGGUAUCCGGAAUAACAUCUCGAAAGGGGUGCUAAUACCGGAUAAGCCUACGGAGCCCUCGGUCUCUGCAGGAAAAGGUGGCCUCUAUUUAUAAGCUACCGUAUCAGGAUGGGUCCGCGUACCAUUAGCUAGUUAGUGGGGUAAUGGCCUACCAAGGCGACGAUGGUUAGCUGGUCUGAGAGGAUGAUCAGCCACACUGGAACUGAGACACGGUCCAGACUCCUACGGGAGGCAGCAGUGGGGAAUUUUGCGCAAUGGGGGAAACCCUGACGCAGCAACGCCGCGUGAGUGAUGAAGGCUUUCGGGUCGUAAAGCCCUGUCAGAGGGGAAGAAAUGGAAACGGUUAAUACCCGUUUUCCUUGACGGUACCCUCAAAGGAAGCACCGGCUAACUCCGUGCCAGCAGCCGCGGUAAUWCAAGCRCGCACUGGAAACAGAUCCGWCCCAYGAUKMSGSMUYYWCWGSCCGUCGUURUACAGCCAAUGAAACAGCUAGAACWGCGC